Molecule: non-coding RNA, 111 nt
Organism: Acanthosepion pharaonis
Lineage: Eukaryota; Metazoa; Mollusca; Cephalopoda; Sepiida; Sepiidae
Source: the annotation of a GenBank genome assembly
CAGCCACAUCACAUUGAAACACUGGUUCCAAUACAAUCACUGAAGUUAAACAACAUUGAGCCUUGUCAGUACCUUAAUGGGUGACCACUUGGGAAUACCAGGUGCUGUAAG